AGAGAAGGGCCAUCGGUCCUGUCUGGGUUGCCCUGUCAUUUCCAUUGUCCACAAUAGUAAUCCUCUUACAGGGAUGACAUCAAACUGUUCUCCUUCCUCCUCCGGGGCCAUCUUCUUCCUACUGGCUUGCAAAGAGUGUCAAGGUUGUUAUGUGAUGGAGAGGCCCUUUAUAACUAAGUUCCCCAACAUUCUGGAAAACAGAAGAGCUGGACCUGUAUGUGUUUUUUGCUUUGGGUCAGGUGUGACUCAGUUUCUUUUAAAUAGAAAGGUUCCAUCCUUAAUCUAGCACUUUCAUCAGGUAUCAGAAUGGCUUUGCAUGACCAUGCCAUUGUCAGUUGGCUCAGGGGAAAUAAUUCAUUAGCUCUCGUGGGAUUGUUUUGUCAGUUGAAGCUUCACGAAGCAGUACAAUGCAACCCUACGAACAAGGUUCCUGGGUGCCAGGCAUGCUCUAGGAGCUUUGCAUGCAUUAAUUAAUGUUGCCCUCUCAGCCCUGUAAAGUAGAUGCUAUUAAUAGCCCCAUUUUAAAGAUGAGGAAAUAGAGAGGUUAAGUAACUUGUCUGAGAUCUCACGGUAUGUGGCAAGGCUGGGAAUCAGAGACCCAGGUGGUCUAGACAUGCUUCUGCUUUUUAAACAGAGAUGGCCAACGUUCUUUUCUAGGUUUUUCUACUUUUUUAGGGGGUGCUUGUUCUGAGUUUUCAUCCUAGUCUCCUUUCCCCAUUCAACUUACAGAGUCCUCUUACAUGGGUAGUAAUUGUAUUUACCUUCCACUGUGAGACUUCUCCCUGCAACCAGCGUCUAUGCUGGGAAUGGGGAAGGGGGUGUUUCCUAGAAAGUGGCAGAAGGAAGAGAACACAGGUUUGUUUGUUUGUUUGUUUUCUGGUCAAUGGAAACUGACCUGACAGACAUUUAUCCUCCACAGAAGUGCAGAGAGAAGAACUUUUUACUCUUAUAUACAGUCGAUGGGUAGUUCUUUAUGACCAAUUGCCCACAUUUAGAGAUGUUCAUCCCAAACUGUGGUGUCUCUCUAGGUCUUCGGGGUCAGUCGGAUUAGGCAGUUUCUUUAAUGGCCACAGAUACCAAAUACAUAUACCAAAUGGGUGGAUACCACCCUUUCCAGGUAACUCUUGAGGACUAGAGAGCCCAGUGGCCCUCCAUAAUGAGCUAUAAUAUCAAAGUUUUUGGCUCCUGGAUUAGAAGAAAGGCCUUCUUGAUUCUUUUUUUGUUUCUGUCUUGUUUUGUUUGUUUUUUUUGGAGAAGAAAAAAGAAGGGAGUCCCAAACCUGCUCACCUCCUACAAAAAGAGUAAGAAAAAAAGUAAGAGAACUUACUGGCUGAGAUGUUUUCUCCAGGUACUACUAGUAUGUCGGCCUUGACUGCUGUGUUGUUCCAGAGAGAGAGAAGGGAGUGCUGAGGGGUGGGGAGAGAGAGAGGAGAAUCGAGAAAAUGUAUUCAGAAAUUUUGCUGCUGUGAUGCCUUUUUAAGAUGUUUAGAAUGUAGGUGGUGGCCUGUGGCUUAAAAGCAUCACCUAGGAAAACCCUCCAGAUCCUAUGCUCCAACCUGAAAGGAUAAUUACAGCAAACCUUUCAAUGUUGCCACACAGGGUUGUUCCCAUUUGAACUGGGUGCGUGGGUUGUUCCCAUGAAGCUUGUGAAUCAUGCUUGAACACACUGACCAGAUAUUUCUAGCCAGCCCCAUAUCCAGAGGAUUCAUUUCCUAUAAAAGACAUUUGAUCACAGUGUUGAAACAAUGCAUUCCAGGUUAGCUUGCCCCGAGACUAACCCAUGGCUGUGUCAUAGGUGCUGAUUGCCUCAGCCUAGAAAUUAGUCCUAAUCUAACACGAACCUAUUCUCUUCUCUUUGGAGACACUUUCUUUUUCUCUUGAAUUUUAAUCUCUCCCCCUUCUCGCAUUUAAAGUGUAUGUUUGCUUUUAAAAUGUGUUUUUAUUAUUAAUUUCUUUUUCUCUUGAUUUUUAAUCUCUCCCCCUUCUCGCAUUUAAAGUGUAUGUUUGCUUUUAAAAUGUGUUUUUGUUAUUAAAACUUUAAUUUUAAAUCAAAAUGGACAGAAAUAGAAUAGAAACUUACUCAGCUAAGGGGGUCAUUUCUGUCUAGAGUAAGAUAAUUUUCUUCAUUGUUUGAAAAGUGGAAAUUAUGGGAAUUAAUAGCAACAUAGAGUAAUUAUCUUCUAAAGAACAUUAAGAUCUCACUGAUACCAUCUAAUUGCCUUUAAAAGACACUGGCAAGGUGAGAUGGAGGGGGUUGAAAGACUUUUUUUGGUGUCAAUUCCUAUUUACAGAGGAAUAGAGAGCUUUCUAGAGAAAGCUAGACAUGAUAAGUAAUGUCAGAGCUUUUUUUUUUUUUGAGACGGAGUUUUGCUCUUGUUACCCAGGCUGGAGUGCAAUGGCGCGAUCUCGGCUCACCACAACCUCCACCUCCUGGGUUCAGGCAAUUCUCCUGCCUCAGCCUCCUGAGUAGCUGGGAUUACAGGCAUGCGCCACCAUGCCCAGUUAAUUUUUUUGUAUUUUUAGUAGAGAUGGGGUUUCACCAUGUUGACCAGGAUGGUCUUGAUCUCUUGACCUCAUGAUCCACCAGCCUCCCGAAGUGCUGGGAUUACAGGCAUGAGCCACCGCGCCUGGCCCUGUCAGAGCUUUUAAGAGACACUAAGGACAUGAGCUCUGAAGAGUCCAUGGUGAGUGCCUAGAGUCUAAGCACAGAGAAUCAAGAGGUACUUCUGAGGGUCAGAACUUGGGGUCGCUGUCUUGGGGUCAAGUGUUGUUUGCAUUAGGCCUCAGUCCACAGCUGUUCACCACAGAAGUGCCAGAUAACGAGGGGAGUGAGGAGCAGAAGAAAGGGUACUGGUCUUCUUGUUGACCACAUGCCAUGAAGAAGUUACCAUUCUCUCUGUGCCCAGAUUCUUCAUCUCUGACAUUAAAAAGACUACUAGCUGCCAUCCAAUACCUUCCUCAUUCAAAAAUUCACAUAUUCUGUGCAUUUCUGGAUGAGGGGUAAAAAUUCCUCGGAUGGUUUCUCACUGGAGCUGUGAUGAGUGAGCUGGAGAAGGGUACUUUGAAGAGUUGGAAAGCAAGCUUUUGCUACUGCAGAUUAUUUCUGUUCUUGUAUCAGGUUCGAUUUGACCUUCCUAAGGAAAUAAAAGUACUUACAAUUCAAUCUCAUUAUUGUGUGGCGUGGAUGAGUCAGUUAAGUUUUCUGCCCAGCAGUUUCCUCAUCUGUGAAAUGGGGCUAUUCAUAGUAUCUACUUCAUGAUGGGAUUGUGAGGAUUAAAUGAGUUGAUGAUAUUUAUUAAAUUAUUGACCACGAUUGAUUAGCUCUGUUUUAUAAACGGGCAAAUAGACAUGAAGAGGGGGACUCUCUAAGUGUGGUUGUCUAUCAAGCUAUGUCUGAAUCUAAGAGCCUAGAAUAAGGAAUCAAGUCAUUCAGAUCUUUAAGCCAAGAGUCUCUUGUCAAUGAUAAAGCAGUGCCAUGUGUGUACCUACGCAACUGUCUUGCAUGCUCUGCUCAUGUACCCCAAAACCUAUAAUCCAAUAAAAAAUUAAAAAAAAAAAAAAAAAAAAAGCAGUGUCUUUCAAUGCAGUGCACACACUUGAGACUUUUGUUAAAAAUUGGGUUCCCAGGUCCCACACCUGGAGAUGCAAACACAAGAGACCUGGGUAAGGCCCAAUAAUCCAAAUGAUAUAGAGAGUGUAGGCUGUGUGCUGAGGGCAGGUGAUGGGGGACAGUUGAGGGGUGAAAGCAAAGGGAAAGGGGGAAGCGUGGUUACCUCCAUAUUUUGAAGAGUUUAAACUAGCUAUGAUAUAAAGUGAGUCAACAAGAAGAAAAGAAAAAAAAUCUAGAAAAAUAUAUCUAAAAUAUCUCCCUUUAAAAAACAAUUCUGGGGUACAUGUGCAGAUCGUGCAGGAUUGUUGCUUGGGUAUACACAUGCCAUGGUGGUUUGCUGCAUCCAUUCCUCAUCAUCUACAUUAAGUAUCUCUCCUAAUGUUAUCCCUCCCCAAUACCCCCACCGCCUGCUAUCCCUCCCCUAGCCCUUCCACCCUGCAAUAGGCCUGGGUGUGUGAUGUUCCCCUCCCUGUUUAAGAAAUAUAAUUAUGGACCCUCGGAGUGAAAAGCAGAGAAGUAAGAUUUGACCUCAGACUCUAGAGACCAUGUUGUGUUUCCUGAUUCAUGUUUGUCUUUCGAGCUGUGCUAAAAUUAUAGUUUCCCUCCCUGCAAGCCCCUUUUCUGCUCCAGCUGCUGACUUAAUGCUGAACUAUGUCAUAAAACCUUGAACUCCCUUUGGGGCUGUAAAGGAUACUUACUUAGCCUCCCAGUUAAAAAUCCAGAUUUCCUAUUGCCUUUAAAAGGUUUGACCACAUGCAUACAACCAGAAAAUGGUUUUACAUUCUCUUAUACAAAGAAGACACUUAAAAAAAAACGCUGCAAGCCUUCAAGUGGCUAACUUCCCUUUUUACUGUGCAGUUUAUAAUCACGAUUUUUUUUUUUUUGAGAUUGAGUUUUGCUCUUGUUCCCCAGGCUGGAAUGCAAUGGGAGGAUCUUAGCUCACCCAACCUCUGCCUCCUGGGUUCAAGCGAUUCUCCUGCCUCAGCCUCCCGAGUGACUGGGAUUACAGGAAUACGCCACCAUGCCCAGCCAAUUUUGUAUUUUUAGUAGAGAUGGGGUUUCUCCAUGUUGGUCAGGCUGGUCUCAAACUUCCAAUCUCAGGUGAUCCACUCACCUUGGCCUCCCAGAGUGCUGGGAUUACAGGUGUGAGCCACUGUGCCUGGCCAUAAUCAUGUAUUUUUUUUUUUUAAUCACGAAUGGCAUGGGGGAUAUUUUGCUCUGCAAGGGAGGAAGUCAUUCUGUUUCUAGGAUAAAUUGAGAACGGCACUGCUGCGUCAGCUCAAGGUUAGCUUGAGUCCAGUGAGAUUCCUAAACCCUGAUUUUGUAGCCCAGGACAUGUAUCAGGGUCCACCUGGGCCCAGCACUGAACUAAAAAGAAAGGAAGAAGGGUGGAUGAAAAUGACCCGUCUAGUUUUCAAUUUAGGGAAUAGGAAUGCUCUUCUGCAAAGCACCUUAUGGUUUAUGAGACCCUUUCACCAUCACAGUUCCACUUUAUCCUUACAACCGUGUGAUAGGUAGGGCUUAUGUUGCUAUAUUCCAUUUGCUCAAGGUCAUAUGUGCACGGGCUGGAUUGAGACUCCGUCCCAAAGUUUCUGAAUCCCAGUCCCAUGCUCUUUCCACAUUUUCAUCCUGCAGCCUGAGAUGGUGCUUAGAUAACCACUGACCAGAGAUACCCUGCCCACUCAGAGGAGAGAGAAAUUAUUGAUUAAAAUGAAGUCAUUCCGGGAGUUCUGCAUUCCACUUGGCUAGUUUAAACACUAUUAAAACUCCAAAAUCAUGACUGGAUGGCUAAAUUCAUGAAGAAAGAAUUUAAAAUGAGGGCACACCGGAUCUCUGCCAGCUGAGCCUCCAGGUUAUCAAUCAGACUCUGGAUCUGGGUCAGCAGGGCUGUGUAGCGAGCCUCUGUCUCCGUCAGGAUGCACUCCUGGGAAUCUCUCUACCAUGGAGG
Callithrix jacchus (white-tufted-ear marmoset) is the source of this 5558-nucleotide non-coding RNA. The record is from RefSeq and is a predicted model, not a curated record. NCBI's taxonomy places the organism in Eukaryota, Metazoa, Chordata, Mammalia, Primates, Cebidae.